GAUGAACGCUGGCGGCGUGCCUAAUACAUGCAAGUCGAGCGAACAGACGAGGAGCUUGCUCCUCUGACGUUAGCGGCGAACGGGUGAGUAACACGUGGAUAACCUACCUAUAAGACUGCGAUAACUUCGGGAAACCGGAGCUAAUACCGGAUAAUAUAUUGAACCGCAUGGUUCAAUAGUGAAAGACGGUUUUGCUGUCACUUAUAGAUGGAUCCCCGCCGCAUUAGCUAGUUGGUGAGGUAACGGCUUACCAAGGCAACGAUGCGUAGCCGACCUGAGAGGGUGAUCGGCCACACUGGAACUGAGACACGGUCCAGACUCCUACGGGAGGCAGCAGUAGGGAAUCUUCCGCAAUGGGCGAAAGCUUGACGGAGCAACGCCGCGUGAGUGAUGAAGGUCUUCGGAUCGUAAAACUCUGUUAUUAGGGAAGAACAAAUGUGUAAGUAACUAUGCACGUCUUGACGGUACCUAAUCAGAAAGCCACGGCUAACUACGUG
This 497-nucleotide ribosomal RNA is filed under the name uncultured bacterium. Its description in RNAcentral is "partial 16S ribosomal RNA". It matches the Rfam family "Bacterial small subunit ribosomal RNA", at positions 28 to 507 of the family's 1533-position model. The record is from RNAcentral.